RNAcentral lists this transfer RNA (71 nucleotides) under Loxodonta africana (African savanna elephant). It matches the Rfam family "tRNA". Rfam says of the family: Transfer RNA (tRNA) molecules are approximately 80 nucleotides in length. The record is from Rfam by way of RNAcentral. Lineage: Eukaryota; Metazoa; Chordata; Mammalia; Proboscidea; Elephantidae.
ACAUUGUUGGUUCAGUGGUAGAAUUCUUGCCUUCCACCCAGGAUACCCAGGCUCGAUUCCUGGCCAGCGUA